Molecule: ribosomal RNA, 317 nt
Filed under: uncultured Chloroflexota bacterium
Lineage: Bacteria; Bacillati; Chloroflexota
Description: bacterial SSU rRNA
Rfam family: Bacterial small subunit ribosomal RNA
Source: RNAcentral
GAUAAACGCUGGCGGCGUGCUUUACGCAUGCAAGUCGAACGGUCUCGAUUUAUCGGGAUAGUGGCAAACGGGUGAGUAACACGUAAGUAACUUGCCCCUAAGUAGGGGAUAACUCUGAGAAAUCGGAGCUAAUACCGUAUGUGGUGGUGGAGGUAAUGCUUCAUCACUAAAGUCCUUCGGGUGCUUAGGGAGAGGCUUGCGUCCGAUUAGCUAGUUGGUAGGGUAAUGGUCUACCAAGGCGAUUAUCGGUAGCUGGUCUGAGAGGAUGGUCAGCCACACUGGGACUUAGACACGGCCCAGACUCCUACGGGAGGCAG